UAUCACGUCAGUCUAACACACUGAAGGUCCCCAGUUCGAGCCUGGGCGAAGCCAUUUAUUUUUGCGUGGUUUCUCCUGUUUUACCAAUGGCGACAAUUUUUGCGCGCUUCAUCAGUGUCAAAUCCUGGAAUUUGCGGUAAAACCCUAAUUCUUUUUCAAUUGAUGUUUUUGUUUAGCUGUGGAGAAAAAAAAGGUGCGAAUUCUGAAAUACUUUCAUAUAUUCGAACCCUAAUUUAAUUCAAUUUCAAUCAAAUCUGCUCUCUUUGAUUACAAUUUAUCAUUAUUUUGUUAUUGGUUGUUGUGUGAAUGUGGUGAAAUCUCGUUGAUGCCAAUUUUUUUUGAAACCAUUUGAUUUAGCUGGAAUAUUAUAUUAUCAAUUUGGCAAUUAAUUUAGAGUUUUUAACCGAUUUUUUCCAGGUUCUAUUGAAAUUUGUUGAAUUUAAGUGUGGAAAUUUGCAUUUUAUUUGAUUAAUGUCAAUUGUAUUGCUUGCUUGUUGUGAAUUUCUAUUUAGUCGAGUUAGUAACUGGAAUUCUGGUAAUGAAAAUUUGUGAUGUUUGAGUUUGGAAUUAGUAAAGAGCCGACCUUAGCUCAGUUGGUAGAGCGGAGGACUGUAGUUGUUUGUUCAGUAGAUUAAUCCUUAGGUCGCUGGUUCGAUUCUGGCAGGUCGGACUUUCCUUUUUUCUGUUGUAGUUCUUCUUUCUCCCUAGUGUUGCACUGUUGCGACCGAGGAGGACUAAGAAGUUGGCAACAUCAAAUGUAUCCCAACAAAAUGUAAGCUGGUUAUAUUAUAGGUGAUACUGAUGAAUCUGUAACAUAUUUGAGCUCAUUCUAAGAAAUUAAUAAGAAAGUUCUUUGCUGUGAAAAUACCAAAGAUUGAUUAACUGUUUCAGAUAUUGCUGGGUUUUGUCCUCUGUAACCAGAUACAUGUCAUAUAGUAGAAACUUGUCAAACUUAACCAGUACGAGUUAUUUUUAGCCCAGCACUUGUGACAGAUUUGACAAAUGGGGUCUGUUGGAUCAAAUUUGAUUUGUGUACCAUUAGUUUUCGGUUGGUUGAGUUUGGAUGCUGUCAAAUUUCGGUGUAAUCAACAUCGCAAUGUUAUGUUUUGAAAUUUUGGUACAAUCCAGGAUUGUUCAGAUAGUAUGGACCAGGUAAUCGCCACAGAUCAGCUUUUUCCAUCUCUAGUUUUUGGUCGAACAUCUAUCUGUGAAACUGGUCUCUGAUGAUUAAACCUAUAGAAGUGAUCUGAGUACGAGUUGCUUUCUUAGCAUGAUUAGGCCUUUGUUCUAGAUUUUUUAGAUUGACUGGGAAAGAAUAUGUGAACAGCCGAGGAGCUUUUGGUAAUACUAACUCGUUUUUUUAAUAGAUGUACCAUAUUGACUUUUAAUACUAUUCAGUAGACCUGUUCAACGGGCUGGAGGCCCGUUAAAAGCCCUAGCCCGGUCUUUUUAUCAAAGGGUUCAGCCCUAGCCCGGCCCAGCCCAGCCCGUUUAAUUCUGACCCGGCCCUAAACCGGCCCGUUGAACAGGUCUACUAUUCACAUAUCCUCUAUGAUAUGACUAUCUUUGCUAGUUUAUACGUGAUAGGUUAUCUAUACAAUCAGGCCUUGAGAUAUUGACACCAGAUGCUAGUCAUAGGUGCACCUUCUCACUUUCUUUUAAUUACUUGCUCUGCACAUGACCAGCAUAAGCUUUUUGAUGUUAAAGGGUGUACCUUAUUCCCUGGUGAAAUUUCAAGAGGCAAUAUUAAAGAGAAAGACCUUAUGUCACAACUAGGCUUAGAAAAAACCAUGGAAAAUUUGUUCAAAAAGUUGGCAACUAGAGUGUCCUCCUCUAUGAAAGCAUAGUGUGUGUGGCAUUUGUUUUUUCUUAUAUUUUUAAAUUGUCGGGGAAAGAAAACAAGAGUAGUAAGAGUCUGAAGAGACCUACAAAGUUGUCAGUUAGCCCUUAAAAUAUUCCCAGGAGCAGGUUCUUGUUUAUGUUGAAAAUUAUAGAGGACUUGAAAUAACAUUGCUUUAUACUGAGGUUUUUUCUACUUAUUGGGAGAUAAGGGAGGUGAAAACUUCAGCUGUAGCAUUUUAGGAAAAAAAAAACACUAUAAACAAACCAUGAUGUCUCUGUUGUUGCUUCUGCUUCAACUAGAAUCAAUCCUAUGGCUAGCAUCUGGUGUCAAUAUCUCAAAACCUGAUUGUAUGUACGAUGCUAUUGCCUAUAUUUUUGGUUUCAGGUCAUUCAGGGUAAAAAUAAUUCAAUAUUUUCUUUUGGUAUUAGUUGUGAAAGAAUGUCACAAGUGCAGACAUCAACCAGAUCGUUGUGUAAUUGGCUAUUCAACUGACACAGACUCAACCUACUUUUACUGUGAAAAGAAUUUGUUGUUGAAGCGGGCUUCAAUUCUUGGGUUCAGCAUAGGUGCUGGAUUAGUGCUUCUGGUCCUAGGUUCCUAUUGACUCGAUAAGUUCUUGUUAGAGCUUAUAACAGGAAGAAACCAAUUUGCCCCUACAAAGAGGGAGGAUGGAUUAGUUUGGCAGUUGAAUUUGUUUCCCAUAUGGAAAGUUCUCGUCUCUCUGAUAUUCUGGAUGCUCGAGUUGUAAAUGAGGGUAAGGAAGAAGAUGAGGAUCCCUCUAAUUCAAUCUAAGUCCAACAACUCAUGGUCAGUAUCUGACAACUAUAAGGUACUUCCUGAAGCCUCUUGCUGCAGUGAUUGUGUAAAAUUAUAGCUUAUUGCAUUUGUGUGUUUCUAAACUGGAAGUUUGUCAUACUUGGGAAAUUUUUUACCUUCUGGAUCUCUUGUAUGGCACUUGUGCAGCGUCAAAAUAGCUUAAUGUAGUCCAUAAAUAUUGAUAUUUACUAUACAGAUUGUUUUUAGUUUGUGAA
Molecule: long non-coding RNA, 2874 nt
Organism: Spinacia oleracea (spinach)
Lineage: Eukaryota; Viridiplantae; Streptophyta; Magnoliopsida; Caryophyllales; Amaranthaceae
Exons: 2
Source: RefSeq, a predicted model, not a curated record